GAUGAACGCUGGCGGCGUGCCUAAUACAUGCAAGUCGAGCGAACGGACGAGAAGCUUGCUUCUCUGAUGUUAGCGGCGGACGGGUGAGUAACACGUGGAUAACCCACCUAUAAGACUGGGAUAACUUCGGGAAACCGGAGCUAAUACCGGAUAAUAUUUUGAACCGCAUGGUUCAAAAGUGAAAGACGGUCUUGCUGUCACUUAUAGAUGGAUCCGCGCUGCAUUAGCUAGUUGGUAAGGUAACGGCUUACCAAGGCAACGAUGCAUAGCCGACCUGAGAGGGUGAUCGGCCACACUGGAACUGAGACACGGUCCAGACUCCUACGGGAGGCAGCAGUAGGGAAUCUUCCGCAAUGGGCGAAAGCCUGACGGAGCAACGCCGCGUGAGUGAUGAAGGUCUUCGGAUCGUAAAACUCUGUUAUUAGGGAAGAACAUAUGUGUAAGUAACUGUGCAAAUCUUGACGGUACCUAAUCAGAAAGCCACGGCUAACUACGUGC
This 498-nucleotide ribosomal RNA is filed under the name uncultured bacterium. RNAcentral describes it as "partial 16S ribosomal RNA". It matches the Rfam family "Bacterial small subunit ribosomal RNA", at positions 28 to 508 of the family's 1533-position model. The record is from RNAcentral.